RNAcentral lists this long non-coding RNA (327 nucleotides) under Gossypium barbadense (sea-island cotton). RNAcentral's name for it is "long non-coding RNA (GBAR_LNC003352)". Lineage: Eukaryota; Viridiplantae; Streptophyta; Magnoliopsida; Malvales; Malvaceae. The record is from RNAcentral.
GCAGAUUAAAGCUCUUGAAUCUAUGAUGGGGGAUGAAAAGAUUGUCAAGGCUGAUGAAGAAACAGAAUCACAAAGGCUGGAUGCUGAUGAAGAAACUGUAACAAGGGAAUUUCUCCAGAUGUUAGAGGAUGAAGGAAGCAAUGAAUUUAAAGAUAUUCCACAUUUUCAACUCGACAAAGCUGAGGAUGAUACCGCUGGUGAUUCUGAUUCUAAAGUUUAUCUCCCUGAUCUAGGAAAGGGGCUAGGCUGUGUGGUUCAAACAAGAGAUGGAGGCUACUUAGCUGCUGUGAAUCCAUUGGAUUCCUUGGUUGCUAGAAAAGACAUGCC